GGUUAAGCGACUAAGCGUACACGGUGGAUGCCCUGGCAGUCAGAGGCGAUGAAGGACGUGCUAAUCUGCGAUAAGCGUCGGUGAGGUGAUAUGAACCGUUAUAACCGGCGAUUUCCGAAUGGGGAAACCCAGUGUGAUUCGUCACACUAUCAUUAACUGAAUCCAUAGGUUAAUGAGGCGAACCGGGGGAACUGAAACAUCUAAGUACCCCGAGGAAAAGAAAUCAACCGAGAUUCCCCCAGUAGCGGCGAGCGAACGGGGAGGAGCCCAGAGCCUGAAUCAGUGUGUGUGUUAGUGGAAGCGUCUGGAAAGGCGCGCGAUACAGGGUGACAGCCCCGUACACAAAAAUGCACAUACUGUGAGCUCGAUGAGUAGGGCGGGACACGUGGUAUCCUGUCUGAAUAUGGGGGGACCAUCCUCCAAGGCUAAAUACUCCUGACUGACCGAUAGUGAACCAGUACCGUGAGGGAAAGGCGAAAAGAACCCCGGCGAGGGGAGUGAAAAAGAACCUGAAACCGUGUACGUACAAGCAGUGGGAGCCUCUUAAUGGGGUGACUGCGUACCUUUUGUAUAAUGGGUCAGCGACUUAUAUUCUGUAGCAAGGUUAACCGAAUAGGGGAGCCGAAGGGAAACCGAGUCUUAACUGGGCGUUAAGUUGCAGGGUAUAGACCCGAAACCCGGUGAUCUAGCCAUGGGCAGGUUGAAGGUUGGGUAACACUAACUGGAGGACCGAACCGACUAAUGUUGAAAAAUUAGCGGAUGACUUGUGGCUGGGGGUGAAAGGCCAAUCAAACCGGGAGAUAGCUGGUUCUCCCCGAAAGCUAUUUAGGUAGCGCCUCGUGAAUUCAUCUCCGGGGGUAGAGCACUGUUUCGGCAAGGGGGUCAUCCCGACUUACCAACCCGAUGCAAACUGCGAAUACCGGAGAAUGUUAUCACGGGAGACACACGGCGGGUGCUAACGUCCGUCGUGAAGAGGGAAACAACCCAGACCGCCAGCUAAGGUCCCAAAGUCAUGGUUAAGUGGGAAACGAUGUGGGAAGGCCCAGACAGCCAGGAUGUUGGCUUAGAAGCAGCCAUCAUUUAAAGAAAGCGUAAUAGCUCACUGGUCGAGUCGGCCUGCGCGGAAGAUGUAACGGGGCUAAACCAUGCACCGAAGCUGCGGCAGCGACACUAUGUGUUGUUGGGUAGGGGAGCGUUCUGUAAGCCUGUGAAGGUGUACUGUGAGGUAUGCUGGAGGUAUCAGAAGUGCGAAUGCUGACAUAAGUAACGAUAAAGCGGGUGAAAAGCCCGCUCGCCGGAAGACCAAGGGUUCCUGUCCAACGUUAAUCGGGGCAGGGUGAGUCGACCCCUAAGGCGAGGCCGAAAGGCGUAGUCGAUGGGAAACAGGUUAAUAUUCCUGUACUUGGUGUUACUGCGAAGGGGGGACGGAGAAGGCUAUGUUGGCCGGGCGACGGUUGUCCCGGUUUAAGCGUGUAGGCUGGUUUUCCAGGCAAAUCCGGAAAAUCAAGGCUGAGGCGUGAUGACGAGGCACUACGGUGCUGAAGCGACAAAUGCCCUGCUUCCAGGAAAAGCCUCUAAGCAUCAGGUAACAUCAAAUCGUACCCCAAACCGACACAGGUGGUCAGGUAGAGAAUACCAAGGCGCUUGAGAGAACUCGGGUGAAGGAACUAGGCAAAAUGGUGCCGUAACUUCGGGAGAAGGCACGCUGAUAUGUAGGUGAAGCGACUUGCUCGUGGAGCUGAAAUCAGUCGAAGAUACCAGCUGGCUGCAACUGUUUAUUAAAAACACAGCACUGUGCAAACACGAAAGUGGACGUAUACGGUGUGACGCCUGCCCGGUGCCGGAAGGUUAAUUGAUGGGGUUAGCGGUAACGCGAAGCUCUUGAUCGAAGCCCCGGUAAACGGCGGCCGUAACUAUAACGGUCCUAAGGUAGCGAAAUUCCUUGUCGGGUAAGUUCCGACCUGCACGAAUGGCGUAAUGAUGGCCAGGCUGUCUCCACCCGAGACUCAGUGAAAUUGAACUCGCUGUGAAGAUGCAGUGUACCCGCGGCAAGACGGAAAGACCCCGUGAACCUUUACUAUAGCUUGACACUGAACAUUGAGCCUUGAUGUGUAGGAUAGGUGGGAGGCUUUGAAGUGUGGACGCCAGUCUGCAUGGAGCCGACCUUGAAAUACCACCCUUUAAUGUUUGAUGUUCUAACGUGGGCCCCUUACCGGGGUUGCGGACAGUGUCUGGUGGGUAGUUUGACUGGGGCGGUCUCCUCCUAAAGAGUAACGGAGGAGCACGAAGGUUGGCUAAUCCUGGUCGGACAUCAGGAGGUUAGUGCAAUGGCAUAAGCCAGCUUGACUGCGAGCGUGACGGCGCGAGCAGGUGCGAAAGCAGGUCAUAGUGAUCCGGUGGUUCUGAAUGGAAGGGCCAUCGCUCAACGGAUAAAAGGUACUCCGGGGAUAACAGGCUGAUACCGCCCAAGAGUUCAUAUCGACGGCGGUGUUUGGCACCUCGAUGUCGGCUCAUCACAUCCUGGGGCUGAAGUAGGUCCCAAGGGUAUGGCUGUUCGCCAUUUAAAGUGGUACGCGAGCUGGGUUUAGAACGUCGUGAGACAGUUCGGUCCCUAUCUGCCGUGGGCGCUGGAGAACUGAGGGGGGCUGCUCCUAGUACGAGAGGACCGGAGUGGACGCAUCACUGGUGUUCGGGUUGUCAUGCCAAUGGCACUGCCCGGUAGCUAAAUGCGGAAGAGAUAAGUGCUGAAAGCAUCUAAGCACGAAACUUGCCCCGAGAUGAGUUCUCCCUGACUCCUUGAGAGUCCUGAAGGAACGUUGAAGACGACGACGUUGAUAGGCCGGGUGUGUAAGCGCAGCGAUGCGUUGAGCUAACCGGUACUAAUGAACCGUGAGGCUUAACCUU
RNAcentral lists this ribosomal RNA (2904 nucleotides) under Escherichia coli. RNAcentral's name for it is "23S ribosomal RNA". It matches the Rfam family "Bacterial large subunit ribosomal RNA". RNAcentral also lists the same sequence under 1 other name. Lineage: Bacteria; Pseudomonadati; Pseudomonadota; Gammaproteobacteria; Enterobacterales; Enterobacteriaceae. The record is from RNAcentral.